Molecule: long non-coding RNA, 1336 nt
Organism: Oreochromis niloticus (Nile tilapia)
Lineage: Eukaryota; Metazoa; Chordata; Actinopteri; Cichliformes; Cichlidae
Exons: 2
Source: RefSeq, a predicted model, not a curated record
UGUGUUCUCCUUCUGUGCCUCAUUCCCUCGUUAUCCCUCUGUGUAUUUAAGCCUUGUGUUUGCUUCUGUUAGUUGCUGGUUUGUCUGCGUAUCCCCCUCCGUCAUCUUGUGUGGUUUCCCCUGUAUCUGUGUUUCAUGUUUCAGGUUUGUUUUUGCUUAGCUUUUCCCAGUUUAGGUUAUUCUUAAGUUUUGGUUAAUGUCCACCGCGUUCCUGUUUGUUUUUCCCUUCAUAUUACAGUUUUUUUUCUAUUGGUUUUGCACAGUUUUCACAAGCAAUUGGUACAUUUCCAAAACUCUUAGUACUUAUAUCACAACAGAUCAUCAAAAGUGCACCGUUUUCAAACAUUUCAGCAUAUUUUCAAUUGUGUUAGUACAAUACACAUAAUGACAAAAUAUCCUUGACACUACACAAAAUAAGUGUUUCAUCUAAAUAAAUGUUUCGUUCACAGUUACUGCCUUUCAUAAUGUUAUCACUAUAAAAUUUUGGAUUUGCAUCUCUUAUUAGUCAGUUUAAUACAUUUGUCUGUCACUUCAUUCAACUGAUCUUAAUGUUUAAUCAAUGAAUCAUUCAUUAUGUCCAUGGAUUUCCAACUUGACUGAUUGUUGUCUGGUCAUUUGUAAGUUACACAUUGCUGCAAGAGCUUUCGAUCUAGAAAUACUAAUUGCUAAUUGUUUCCCCCUGAUGAUCACAAUUAGUUACCAUAUAAGUAGAACUGUGUUUGAGACUUUGCACUGUUCAAAUAUGGAGCAGGAUAGACUCGUAGGGAGAGGAAACCUUCAUCGGAGAGGUGGUGCUCCUCCUCGACAGAGAGGUGGUCUUCAGAGAAAUGUAGGCAGAAGACAAUGCACCAUCAUCUCUAAUGAAGUCCGGGCCAUCAUUGUUGACCAUGUGGUUAAUAGAGGCUUUACCAUGGCUGAGGCUGCCAGGUUGGUACAGCCUAAUUUACAAAGGUCAACUGUCAGCUCUAUCAUCAGAACUUUUCGCCAAGAAAACCGAAUUAACAGGAGACAACCUGGUGGUGGUGGCCCACGUGUUUUGACUGACCAGCAGGAGUUGGCUGUGGUGGAAAUGGUCAGGGCAAGGAAUUGACAUACGGCUGUCUGAAAUCAAACAGGCUGUUGAGAACAGCAAUGACACCUUUGCCAAUGUGCCAUCAAUUAGCCUUCCAACGAUUGCCUGGCUUUUGAAGAAGCACCAGGUUUCCAUGAAACAAAUUUACUUGGUUCCUUUUGAGAGGAACAAUGUCCGGGUGAAACAACUGCGUUCAGAAUAUAUUCAGGUACAACACUAAACUGGCAUGCAAUUACUGUAACAGUACUGACAACUAUUAGUUGU